CUUGGUCAUUUAGAGGAAGUAAAAGUCGUAACAAGGUUUCCGUAGGUGAACCUGCGGAAGGAUCAUUAAUGAAUUUUUGAAAUGGGGUUGUAGCUGGCUUUUAAUCGAGCAUGGUGCACGCCCUAUUCAUCCAUUUCUAUAUACACCUGUGCACCUUUUGUAGGUCGGUCGUUACGGGAAAAGCCUUUCGGUUUUUUCUUACACUUCCUUCCUAUGUUUUUAUUAUAAACUCUGUGAAUGUCUAUGAAUGUCUUUGCGUAAAUAAACGCAUCAUAAUAUAACUUUCAGCAACGGAUCUCUUGGCUCUCGCAUCGAUGAAGAACGCAGCGAAAUGCGAUAAGUAAUGUGAAUUGCAGAAUUCAGUGAAUCAUCGAAUCUUUGAACGCACCUUGCGCUCCUUGGUAUUCCGAGGAGCAUGCCUGUUUGAGUGUCAUGGAAUUAUCAAACCCCUUUUACUUUAUUGUAAAAGUGGGCUUGGAUUUGGAGGUUUAUUGCUGGCUGCAUUAAAUUGUUGGUCAGCUCCUCUUGAAUGCAUUAGCUUUGAGCCUUUAACGGGUCGGCUUAUCGGUGUGAUAAAUUUUAUGCCGUGGUCGGUUUCGUGAAUAAAAAUCAAGCUUCUAAUCGUCCCUUCUUAAUGGGACAAUACAUUUGACCUCUGACCUCAAAUCAGGUAGGACUACCCGCUGAACUUAAGCAUAUCAAUAAGCGGAGGAAAAGAAACUAACAAGGAUUCCCCUAGUAACUGCGAGUGAAGCGGGAAAAGCUCAAAUUUAAAAUCUGGCAGUCUUUGAUGUCCGACUGGUGAGUCGUGAUAAAGUGGCUUUCCCGUGCCUGGAACCGUGACAAGUCUCCUAKUAACAAGGGAUUCCCCUACGUAACUGSGAGUGAAGGCGUGGAAAAGCUCMAACUGUCAAAAAUCUGGGCAGCCUUUUGGAUUGUYCCGACUGGUAAGUCGUGGSAAAAGUGGCUUUCCCGUSCCUGGAACCGUGACAAUCCUCCUA
This 1001-nucleotide ribosomal RNA is filed under the name Fibroporia radiculosa. RNAcentral's name for it is "eukaryotic LSU rRNA". The stretch from base 280 to 433 matches the Rfam family "5.8S ribosomal RNA". Lineage: Eukaryota; Fungi; Basidiomycota; Agaricomycetes; Polyporales; Fibroporiaceae. The record is from RNAcentral.